RNAcentral lists this transfer RNA (72 nucleotides) under Marmota marmota marmota (Alpine marmot). It matches the Rfam family "tRNA". Rfam says of the family: Transfer RNA (tRNA) molecules are approximately 80 nucleotides in length. Their secondary structure includes four short double-helical elements and three loops (D, anti-codon, and T loops). Further hydrogen bonds mediate the characteristic L-shaped molecular structure. tRNAs have two regions of fundamental functional importance: the anti-codon, which is responsible for specific mRNA codon recognition, and the 3' end, to which the tRNAs corresponding amino acid is attached (by aminoacyl-tRNA synthetases). tRNAs cope with the degeneracy of the genetic code in two manners: having more than one tRNA (with a specific anti-codon) for a particular amino acid; and 'wobble' base-pairing, i.e. permitting non-standard base-pairing at the 3rd anti-codon position. Lineage: Eukaryota; Metazoa; Chordata; Mammalia; Rodentia; Sciuridae. RNAcentral also lists the same sequence under 1 other name. The record is from Rfam by way of RNAcentral.
AGGGAUGUAGCUCAGUGAAUGAGCACUUGCCUAGCAUGUGAGAGGUCUUGGGUUCCAUCCCCAGCACUGUUU